UGUUUUUCGACCUAUCAUGAAAAAUAAGAUCUGCCCAAUGAUAAUAGUUGAAUGGCCGCAGUAUUUUGACUGUGCAAAGGUAGCAUAAUAAAUUGUCUUUUAAUUGGGGUCUGGCAUGAAUGAUUUUAUGAUAAUCCUACUGUUUUUUAUUGUAAUGUGAAUUUUUAAGUUAGGUGAAGAUACUUAAAUAAUUAUAAAAGACGAGAAGACCCCGUCAAGUUUAAUAUUUUACUUGAUUUUAGGAUUGAAUAUAUCAUUAAUAAAUAUUUUAUUGGGGCAAUUGGAGAUUUAAAACUCUCUUUAUAAAAUAAUAUUUUUAUUACAGUUGUUUAAUGAUCCAAUAUUUUGAGUGUAAGAAUAAAUUACUGUGGGGAUAACAGCGUAAUUUUUUUAUAGAGUUCUUAUCGAUGAAGAAGAUUGCGACCUCGAUGUUGGAUUAAGAUACCUUUUUGACGCAGCUGUUGGAGGGGGUAGUCUGUUCGACUAUUAAAUUCUUACA
This 499-nucleotide ribosomal RNA is filed under the name Lithobius holstii. RNAcentral's name for it is "partial 16S ribosomal RNA". It matches the Rfam family "Bacterial large subunit ribosomal RNA", at positions 1829 to 2600 of the family's 2925-position model. Lineage: Eukaryota; Metazoa; Arthropoda; Chilopoda; Lithobiomorpha; Lithobiidae. The record is from RNAcentral.